RNAcentral lists this ribosomal RNA (860 nucleotides) under Scopulariopsis crassa. RNAcentral's name for it is "eukaryotic LSU rRNA". It matches the Rfam family "Eukaryotic large subunit ribosomal RNA", at positions 52 to 940 of the family's 3401-position model. The record is from RNAcentral. Lineage: Eukaryota; Fungi; Ascomycota; Sordariomycetes; Microascales; Microascaceae.
GGAGGAAAAGAAACCAACAGGGAUUGCCUCAGUAACGGCGAGUGAAGCGGCAACAGCUCAAAUUUGAAAUCUGGUCCCCUCUGGGGGCCCGAGUUGUAAUUUGAAGAGGAUGCUUUUGGCGAGGCGCCGUCCGAGUUCCCUGGAACGGGACGCCGCAGAGGGUGAGAGCCCCGUACGGUCGGACGCCGAGCCUCUGUAAAGCUCCUUCGACGAGUCGAGUAGUUUGGGAAUGCUGCUCAAAAUGGGAGGUAAACCCCUUCUAAAGCUAAAUACCGGCCAGAGACCGAUAGCGCACAAGUAGAGUGAUCGAAAGAUGAAAAGCACUUUGAAAAGAGAGUUAAAAAGCACGUGAAAUUGUUAAAAGGGAAGCGCUUGCGACCAGACUUGCGCCCGUCGGAUCAACCGUCGCUUGCGGCGGCGCACUCCGGCGGGCUCAGGCCAGCAUCAGUUCGCCUGGGGGGAGAAAGGCGGCGGGAAUGUAGCUCCUCGGAGUGUUAUAGCCCGCCGUGUAAUACCCUCGGGUGGACUGAGGACCGCGCGUAUGCAAGGAUGCUGGCGUAAUGGUCGUCAGCGACCCGUCUUGAAACACGGACCAAGGAGUCGUCCUAAUAUGCGAGUGUACGGGUGUCAAACCCCUGCGCGUAAUGAAAGUGAACGGAGGUGAGAGCUUCGGCGCAUCAUCGACCGAUCCUGAUGUUAUCGGAUGGAUUUGAGUAAGAGCAUAUUGGGCCGGACCCGAAAGAAGGUGAACUAUGCCUGUGUAGGGUAAAGCCAGAGGAAACUCUGGUGGAGGCUCGCAGCGGUUCUGACGUGCAAAUCGAUCGUCAAACAUGGGCAUGGGGGCGAAAGACUAAUCGAAC